AUGACAAGAACCCGGAGGAUCCCCCUGAUGAAUGCAGGGACCUUGAUGGAGUCACACACAAGCUGAACGUGCAGUGGAAGACUGAGAACUGUUACACAUGUAGUUGUGAUGAGACUGGAAUUCAUUGCUGCAACACUGCUGCCAUCCCCGGAGGUUUUGAUACCACAAAGUGCAAGACGAUCUUCCACAAGGACACUUGCAGCUACUCCGUGGUGGAGCUGGAGAACCCGGACAAGGAAUGUCCAGUCAGCUCGUGGAUCCUGUGAAGAGCUAGCGGGCCCAGGUCCUCCCGCGGGCCCGGACAGCCCGAUGUACAGCCCUGCUUAUCAGUAAAGCAUGUGUGGAGCAAU
Oryctolagus cuniculus (rabbit) is the source of this 350-nucleotide non-coding RNA. NCBI's taxonomy places the organism in Eukaryota, Metazoa, Chordata, Mammalia, Lagomorpha, Leporidae. The record is from RefSeq and is a predicted model, not a curated record.